This 484-nucleotide ribosomal RNA is filed under the name Corydoras sp. 'C129'. RNAcentral's name for it is "partial 16S ribosomal RNA". It matches the Rfam family "Bacterial large subunit ribosomal RNA", at positions 1850 to 2543 of the family's 2925-position model. Lineage: Eukaryota; Metazoa; Chordata; Actinopteri; Siluriformes; Callichthyidae. The record is from RNAcentral.
AGGUCCUGCCUGCCCAGUGACUAUGUUAAACGGCCGCGGUAUUUUGACCGUGCAAAGGUAGCGCAAUCACUUGUCUUUUAAAUGAAGACCUGUAUGAAUGGUGGAACGAGGGCCUAACUGUCUCCCUUUUCAAGUCAAUGAAAUUGAUCUGCCCGUGCAGAAGCGGACAUACAAAUACAAGACGAGAAGACCCUUUGGAGCUUAAGAUUAAAAAUCAACUAUAUCAAAUAUUCAUUAAAUAGAACUAAAUAGUAAUUGAUCAUAAUCUUCGGUUGGGGCGACCACGGAAUAAAAACAAACUUCCACAUGGACUGAGGACUAACCUUAAAACCAAGAAAGACAUUUCUAAGUAACAGAAUUUCUGACCACACAGAUCCGGCAAAUUGCCGAUCAAUGGACCAAGUUACCCUAGGGAUAACAGCGCAAUCCCCUUUUAGAGUUCCUAUCGACAAGGGGGUUUACGACCUCGAUGUUGGAUCAGGAC